AUACGGAGGGGGCUAGCGUUGUUCGGAAUUACUGGGCGUAAAGCGCGCGUAGGCGGGCUGGUAAGUUGGGGGUGAAAUCCCAGGGCUCAACCCUGGAACUGCCCUCAAUACUGCCAGUCUUGAGUUCGAGAGAGGUAAGUGGAAUUCCUAGUGUAGCGGUGAAAUGCGUAGAUAUUAGGAGGAAUACCAGUGGCGAAGGCGGCCCCCUGGACCAAUACUGACGCUGAGGUACGAAAGCGUGGGUAGCAAACAGGAUUAGAUACCCUAGUAGUCC
RNAcentral lists this ribosomal RNA (274 nucleotides) under uncultured bacterium. Its description in RNAcentral is "partial 16S ribosomal RNA". It matches the Rfam family "Bacterial small subunit ribosomal RNA", at positions 523 to 796 of the family's 1533-position model. The record is from RNAcentral.